RNAcentral lists this ribosomal RNA (279 nucleotides) under uncultured bacterium. Its description in RNAcentral is "partial 16S ribosomal RNA". It matches the Rfam family "Bacterial small subunit ribosomal RNA", at positions 506 to 784 of the family's 1533-position model. The record is from RNAcentral.
UGCCAGCCGCCGCGGUAACACGGGGGGCGCAAGCGUUAUUCGGAAUUAUUGGGCGUAAAGCGCGUGUAGGCGGUUCGUUAAGUCUGAUGUGAAAGCCCGGGGCUCAACCCCGGAAGUGCAUUGGAAACUGGCGAACUUGAGUACGGGAGAGGAAAGUGGAAUUCCGAGUGUAGGGGUGAAAUCCGUAGACAUUCGGAGGAACACCAGUGGCGAAGGCGGCUUUCUGGCCCGAUACUGACGCUCAUGGACGAAAGCGUGGGGAGCAAACAGGAUUAGAUA